This 1708-nucleotide ribosomal RNA is filed under the name Burkholderia humptydooensis MSMB43. RNAcentral's name for it is "Burkholderia thailandensis MSMB43 large subunit ribosomal RNA". It matches the Rfam family "Bacterial large subunit ribosomal RNA", at positions 1 to 1764 of the family's 2925-position model. The record is from RNAcentral. Lineage: Bacteria; Pseudomonadati; Pseudomonadota; Betaproteobacteria; Burkholderiales; Burkholderiaceae.
GGUCAAGCGAACAAGUGCAUGUGGUGGAUGCCUUGGCGAUCACAGGCGAUGAAGGACGCGGUAGCCUGCGAAAAGCUACGGGGAGCUGGCAAACGAGCUUUGAUCCGUAGAUGUCCGAAUGGGGAAACCCACUCCUUUUGGAGUAUCCAUGACUGAAUACAUAGGUCAUGUGAGGCGAACGCGGUGAACUGAAACAUCUAAGUAACCGCAGGAAAAGAAAUCAACCGAGAUUCCCAAAGUAGUGGCGAGCGAAAUGGGAAGAGCCUGUACUCUUUAUUUGUAUUGUUAGCCGAACGCUCUGGAAAGUGCGGCCAUAGCAGGUGAUAGCCCUGUAGGCGAAAACAGUAUGAAAGAACUAGGUGUACGACAAGUAGGGCGGGACACGUGAAAUCCUGUCUGAAGAUGGGGGGACCAUCCUCCAAGGCUAAAUACUCGUGAUCGACCGAUAGUGAACCAGUACCGUGAGGGAAAGGCGAAAAGAACCCCGGGAGGGGAGUGAAAUAGAUCCUGAAACCGCAUGCAUACAAACAGUCGGAGCCUCUUCGGGGGUGACGGCGUACCUUUUGUAUAAUGGGUCAGCGACUUACGUUCAGUAGCAAGCUUAACCGAAUAGGGCAGGCGUAGCGAAAGCGAGUCCGAAUAGGGCGUUCAGUUGCUGGGCGUAGACCCGAAACCAGGUGAUCUAUCCAUGGCCAGGAUGAAGGUGCGGUAACACGUACUGGAGGUCCGAACCCACUAACGUUGAAAAGUUAGGGGAUGAGCUGUGGAUAGGGGUGAAAGGCUAAACAAACCUGGAAAUAGCUGGUUCUCUCCGAAAACUAUUUAGGUAGUGCCUCGUGUCUCACCUUCGGGGGUAGAGCACUGUCAUGGUUGGGGGGUCUAUUGCAGAUUACCCCGCCAUAGCAAACUCCGAAUACCGAAGAGUGCAAUCACGGGAGACAGACAUCGGGUGCUAACGUCCGGUGUCAAGAGGGAAACAACCCAGACCGCCAGCUAAGGUCCCCAAAUAUGGCUAAGUGGGAAACGAAGUGGGAAGGCUAAAACAGUCAGGAGGUUGGCUUAGAAGCAGCCACCCUUUAAAGAAAGCGUAAUAGCUCACUGAUCGAGUCGUCCUGCGCGGAAGAUGUAACGGGGCUAAGCCAUAUACCGAAGCUGCGGAUGCGUGCUUGCACGCAUGGUAGGAGAGCGUUCCGUAAGCCUGCGAAGGUGCACUGUAAGGUGUGCUGGAGGUAUCGGAAGUGCGAAUGCUGACAUGAGUAGCGAUAAAGGGGGUGAAAGGCCCCCUCGCCGUAAGCCCAAGGUUUCCUACGCAACGUUCAUCGGCGUAGGGUGAGUCGGCCCCUAAGGCGAGGCAGAAAUGCGUAGCUGAUGGGAAGCAGGUCAAUAUUCCUGCACCGUCGUUAGAUGCGAUGGGGGGACGGAUCGCGGAAGGUUGUCCGGGUGUUGGAAGUCCCGGUCGCUGCAUUGGAGAAGGCGCUUAGGCAAAUCCGGGCGCAGGAUUCAAGGGUGUGGCGCGAGCUCCUUCGGGAGCGAAGCAAUUGGAAGUGGUUCCAAGAAAAGCCUCUAAGCUUCAGUCUAACGAUGACCGUACCGCAAACCGACACAGGUGGGCGAGAUGAGUAUUCUAAGGCGCUUGAGAGAACUCGGGAGAAGGAACUCGGCAAAUUGGUACCGUAACUUCGGGAUAAGGUACGCCCUGGUAGCUUGA